AAAAAAAAUCUAGUCAAACCGGAUUUAACAUACAAUCAGACCGGAAAUAAUUUAAUUGAGGGCUAGCUAAUAAAUCUCAUAUAACAAAAAAUUUCGAAAUUUUAAAAAUAAAUCUGUCAAAAAAAGUCUGUUAUUACUAAAAAAGUUAUUCUAGUCAUAAACAAAUCGGCCAUAACAUUGACAUGAGUAAAUCUGUUAUGCUUUGACACUGAAAAACAAAACUGUCAUCACUAAAAACAAAUCUGUUAUCACUAUGUGACUGUGUAGUAAUUUUAUUUUUUAACAAAAAUCUGUUGUAAAACACCAAAUUUGUUAACAAGUUAAUUAAAUCUGUGAUUACACAAAACAACUUUGUCAUGCCUAUAUAACAUUUUUCGAGGUUAACAAAUCUGUUAUAACACAACAGAUUUUUGGGUGCAAAUAGAAAAUCUGUUGCCACCAUAAAGAAAAAUCUGUGGUCCGGAAAACAAAUCAGUGACAGAUUUGGUUUCAACAUUCUUACUUUUGAAAUUUAAAUAAAAUCUGUGGAGACUAUAUGAAACAAAUCAGUCACGGUUAAAAAAUCUGCGAAAAAAAAAAAUCUGGCGUAACAUAACACAGUAAAGUCUGUGGUACAAAACAAGUCUGUUGUAAAAAAUCUGUGGUUGACCAACAAAUCUGUGAUCGAUAACAAAUCCGUCGCAACAAGAGCCACAGAUUUACCAAAAACGACGAUGGCAUUUUCGUAAAUAAAUGUGGUUUUAUUGCCUUGCUGGAAUUAAAUAGUAAUGGCAUUUCUGUAAUAUUGUUUUUCUCUGUAAAGGAAAACAAGGAUAAUUUAGGUAUAAUUAUUACUCAAAUAACUCAUAUUUUUAGCAUUCCUUUUGGGUCAUUAUGUAUAAAAUAUGGGUUACUCUAGUAAAUUUCCCUUUUAUUUAUCCCCUCGCUAAAACCAUUUCCAAU
Molecule: small RNA, 942 nt
Filed under: Arabidopsis thaliana (thale cress)
Lineage: Eukaryota; Viridiplantae; Streptophyta; Magnoliopsida; Brassicales; Brassicaceae
Description: ATSL179050
Source: RNAcentral